Molecule: long non-coding RNA, 541 nt
Organism: Seriola dumerili (greater amberjack)
Lineage: Eukaryota; Metazoa; Chordata; Actinopteri; Carangiformes; Carangidae
Exons: 3
Source: RefSeq, a predicted model, not a curated record
AAAGAUGACGAGAGCGAGAGCGUUGUAACGUCUGUAAAAUGGUCAUUUCAGGUCAUGUAUCUGAAACUGUACACACGAGUGCCGCUGCUUCCUGACCGAGCAGCACAUCUGUUACGUUAAGGGUUAAACAUCCUAUGUUAUAACAACAUUAUCUCCACGCAGGCUGGCUCAGCAGAUUUUGUGUUUGACUAAGACUUGUGUUGAGGCUGAAAACCUGUGUUGGGCCUACCACACAGAAAACUAGUCAGGAAUAGUUAAGACAAUCAAUAAAGGAUCAGAGCGAUCAACGAAAGCUGUGGUAUCAAUAAAGUCUUAUCGAUUCCCAUCCCUGGACAACAUGCAGCUUCCUGAAAGAGGAUCUCUCCAGCAGACAGAGGGGAACGAUAUUACAGAUCAGGUGACUGAUUUCUGAAAUGAAAACCGGGGAAAUUUCCAGUUCAAUUUUACUGCUUGGUUAUGAACUCCUGACCAAUGAUUGAGCCAGCUAACCUUUUUUUGUCUACAGACAACAACAACAACAACAACAACAACAACAAAGAAA